Molecule: ribosomal RNA, 726 nt
Filed under: Brevundimonas sp. M_Sw_oHS_08/10_6_2(2)
Lineage: Bacteria; Pseudomonadati; Pseudomonadota; Alphaproteobacteria; Caulobacterales; Caulobacteraceae
Description: bacterial SSU rRNA
Rfam family: Bacterial small subunit ribosomal RNA
Source: RNAcentral
UCAGAGCGAACGCUGGCGGCAGGCCUAACACAUGCAAGUCGAACGAACUCUUCGGAGUUAGUGGCGGACGGGUGAGUAACACGUGGGAACGUGCCUUUAGGUUCGGAAUAACUCAGGGAAACUUGUGCUAAUACCGAAUGUGCCCUUCGGGGGAAAGAUUUAUCGCCUUUAGAGCGGCCCGCGUCUGAUUAGCUAGUUGGUGAGGUAAAGGCUCACCAAGGCGACGAUCAGUAGCUGGUCUGAGAGGAUGAUCAGCCACAUUGGGACUGAGACACGGCCCAAACUCCUACGGGAGGCAGCAGUGGGGAAUCUUGCGCAAUGGGCGAAAGCCUGACGCAGCCAUGCCGCGUGAAUGAUGAAGGUCUUAGGAUUGUAAAAUUCUUUCACCGGGGACGAUAAUGACGGUACCCGGAGAAGAAGCCCCGGCUAACUUCGUGCCAGCAGCCGCGGUAAUACGAAGGGGGCUAGCGUUGCUCGGAAUUACUGGGCGUAAAGGGAGCGUAGGCGGACAUUUAAGUCAGGGGUGAAAUCCCGGGGCUCAACCUCGGAAUUGCCUUUGAUACUGGGUGUCUUGAGUAUGAGAGAGGUGUGUGGAACUCCGAGUGUAGAGGUGAAAUUCGUAGAUAUUCGGAAGAACACCAGUGGCGAAGGCGACACACUGGCUCAUUACUGACGCUGAGGCUCGAAAGCGUGGGGAGCAAACAGGAUUAGAUACCCUGGUAGUCC